GAGGCCAACCAGCGAAACACUUUGAUGGAGCACUAGGGUCUCCCAAGCAAAACUUCCCAGAUGGCCCAACAACAGAAAGAGGAUCUUUGCUCGUUGGUGGACAGCUGUUUGGGGAGGAGGGCAUGGAGGCCCCGCUGUCAUUAGACAGACAGAAGAUGGUUCAUGACCCGGUGCUGCAUCACCAGUCUUGGAUAUCUUCCCUCGUUUCCUUGAUACCCCUGGGCUGACUGACCAGGAUUUCUCAAUGAUGCUUGAGGACGAAGUCUCGGGAAGAUUUCUUUCCAAAUGGUCUUAUAUUUGAAACAAAAAGUCAUUGCAGAAAGCCAAAGUCUCCCAUCAAGUCCUUCUGUUGAGUUACGAGCUUCUUGUGACCCAGAGCCCUCAAAUGACUGUGGAUGGGAUGGUGACCUGGCAGCUCUAAUACUGUUACUGCAGCUCCUACCCCCAAAUCAAGAGGCCACAAAAAUCAGCAAAGAUUAGCUCAGCAGCCAAUCAUGUAGUAAGAUUCCUCAAGCUAAGCAGCAUUAGCCUUUUUGUAAACCUCUUUGUAGCUCAUGAUUUCUGUCCUGUAUGCUGCAUGACUUUGUAAAAACGGUAAGCCUUGAAAUAAAACCAUGAAAGAUGAAAUUAUGUCUUAUCUAUUGAUCAGACAAGGGAUCAACAAAUACCAUUAUGGCUCUGCUUUAAAAAAAAGUUAAUUGACAGAUCUGGGGUCAGUAAACUCACAUAGGCUGUUCAGAAAGAAAUUAAAAAAGCAUUACUAUGUUGAUCUUUUAUUGUACUUGGAUAAAGUUGUGUUCAGACAGGUUACUUGCUUGGGCCUGUAGAGAUUAUAUGUAAACUUAACAGUUGAAUUUUACUCAUGACUGAUGCCUGUCAUUCAGAUUACAGGAAGGAGCCAGUCUCUCUACCUUCCUGGACAAAGUUGCCACCAGGCAUUGGUGAACAAAAGAAGAAUAUUCUGAGGUUCUUCAUCGUUGGUAUUCCAUGUGCUGCUCCAACUUCAGUGGCUGCUUUUGAUGGACUGUUCAAAGCUCACUUUGUCUUCAGCCUCUCAUAUGAUGAAGCUCUUUCCAGUUUCUACACCUUCAUUCAAACUACAAUCUACAAUAUUGAUGUUGGGAACACAGGAAAGCCCACGAGUCAAGGAGCUGAGAGCACGUCUCCUGCAUUAAGAGGUGAAAGUGUCAAACUGCAGCAGAAUAUAGACGGGUGUAGGACGACUUAAAAUCCAUUUGACAAUGUUCAUAUGCUUUGUUUGUAAAAUCCACCACAAAGACUGUCAACAUUUAAAAUUUCAUCAUGGUUUAUAUCCUGCUAAAAGUUUAUGUUUAAAAUGUGGAGAGCAGGGUUGUGUUUCUUCUUUUUGCACUUACAAUGGCUUUCGAAAACAUCUUCACAAUGUGCACAGUCAUCAUGAUAAGCAUGUAGGGAUACAGCAGGAAGCUGUCAUACAAAC
Molecule: long non-coding RNA, 1459 nt
Organism: Poecilia latipinna (sailfin molly)
Lineage: Eukaryota; Metazoa; Chordata; Actinopteri; Cyprinodontiformes; Poeciliidae
Exons: 3
Source: RefSeq, a predicted model, not a curated record